This 541-nucleotide ribosomal RNA is filed under the name Craterium aureum. RNAcentral describes it as "SSU rRNA". It matches the Rfam family "Eukaryotic small subunit ribosomal RNA", at positions 28 to 522 of the family's 1831-position model. Lineage: Eukaryota; Evosea; Eumycetozoa; Physariida; Physaraceae. The record is from RNAcentral.
AUGCUUCUCCUAAAGACUAAGCCAUGCAUGCCUAUGAAUAGAAGAGCUUUCUCUUUGAAUCUGCGAACGGCUCCGCAAACCAGUUGUAAACUAUAGCAAGCAUGUCUCGGUGACGGCCGCAAGGUCGACAUCGGGAUAAUAAGGAUAACCCUGGUAAUUCUGAGGCUAAUACAAGAACGUAACCCCUGGUCGACCGGGCAACUGGAAGGCCGGGGAACGUGCGAUGCAGCGCAAAGAUUGCUGGGAAUAGGUGCACGUUCAGACCACCAUACCAAACGGUUGGCCCGGAGCUUCGGCGAAAGGCUUCCUGGGUGGCUCUUGCUGUGUGCUUCUGACCUAUCAACUAGAUGGCAGCGUAACGGACAUGCUAUGGUGACAACGGGUACAGAGGAUAAGGGUUCGAUCCUGGAGAGUGGGCCUGAGAGAUUGCUCACACUUCUAAGGAAGGCAGCAGGCGCGCAACGUUCCCAUUGGCCAAAGGUCGAGGGCGUUAGGGGACAUAUGAAUGCCUGCCUCAUGGUGGGCAAUUCAAAUGGGUCUG